RNAcentral lists this ribosomal RNA (371 nucleotides) under uncultured organism. Its description in RNAcentral is "bacterial SSU rRNA". It matches the Rfam family "Bacterial small subunit ribosomal RNA", at positions 526 to 896 of the family's 1533-position model. The record is from RNAcentral.
CGUAGGGUGCGGGCGUUAAUCGGAAUUACUGGGCGUAAAGCGUGCGCAGGCGGUUUGUUAAGAUAGGCGUGAAAUCCCCGGGCUCAACCUGGGAACUGCGCUUAUGACUGGCAAGCUAGAGUACGGCAGAGGGGGUGGAAUUCCACGUGUAGCAGUGAAAUGCGUAGAGAUGUGGAGGAACACCAAUGGCGAAGGCAGCCCCCUGGGUCGAUACUGACGCUCAUGCACGAAAGCGUGGGUAGCAAACAGGAUUAGAUACCCUGGUAGUCCACGCCCUAAACGAUGUCAACUAGGUGUUGGGAGGGUAAAACCUUUUAGUACCGGAGCUAACGCGUGAAGUUGACCGCCUGGGGAGUACGGCCGCAAGGUUA